RNAcentral lists this ribosomal RNA (277 nucleotides) under uncultured bacterium. Its description in RNAcentral is "partial 16S ribosomal RNA". It matches the Rfam family "Bacterial small subunit ribosomal RNA", at positions 30 to 286 of the family's 1533-position model. The record is from RNAcentral.
AUUGAACGCUGGCGGCAGGCCUAACACAUGCAAGUCGAGCGGUAACAGAACUAGCUUGCUAGUUGCUGACGAGCGGCGGACGGGUGCGUAACACGUAGGAAUCUGCCCGGUAGUGGGGGAUAGCCCGGAGAAAUCCGGAUUAAUACCGCAUACGUCCUACUCUUUUUCGGAAGAGGGGGGAAAGCAGGGGAAUCUUCGGAUCCUUGCGCUAUCGGAUGAGCCUGCGUCGGAUUAGCUAGUUGGUAGGGUAAAGGCCUACCAAGGCAACGAUCCGUAG